UACAGAGGGUGCGAGCGUUAAUCGGAUUUUACUGGGCGUAAAAGCGUACGUAGGCGGCUUUUUUAAGUCGGAUGUGAAAUCCCCUGAGCUUAACUUAGGAAUUGCAUUCGAUACUGGGAAGCUAGAGUAUGGGGAGAGGAUGGUAGAAUUCCAGGUGUAGCGGUGAAAUGCGUAGAGAUCUGGAGGAAUACCGAUGGCGAAGGCAGCCAUCUGGCCUAAUACUGACGCUGAGGUACGAAAGCAUGGGGAGCAAAACAGG
RNAcentral lists this ribosomal RNA (259 nucleotides) under uncultured bacterium. RNAcentral's name for it is "partial 16S ribosomal RNA". It matches the Rfam family "Bacterial small subunit ribosomal RNA", at positions 524 to 776 of the family's 1533-position model. The record is from RNAcentral.